RNAcentral lists this unclassified non-coding RNA (1994 nucleotides) under Fusarium oxysporum. RNAcentral's name for it is "partial contains 28S ribosomal RNA and 28S-18S ribosomal RNA intergenic spacer". The record is from RNAcentral. Lineage: Eukaryota; Fungi; Ascomycota; Sordariomycetes; Hypocreales; Nectriaceae.
GUUGUUACGAUCUGCUGAGGGUAAGCCGUCCUUCGCCUCGAUUUCCCCAAUGGGUUCUCCGGAUUUCUGGAGACUUGUAGGGGUUGUGGGAUUUUUGAUGUGUCGUCUCCGGACGGGCGGUGCAGGGUAGUCGAGUUAGACUUGGUGGAAUUCCGUCGAUAGGAGUUCCGUCGAGUCUGGUCGGCUGUGUGUUGGACGGUGCAGGGUAGGCUGCUUGGACAUGGUCGGUUCGAGGAUCGAUUCGAGGGCCGGCCUGUCGAUGAUGUGUGAUGUAUGCGGUCUAGGGUAGGCUGGUUUGUCUUGGUCCAAUUUGAUGUCGGCUCCCGUGCAGGCCAGAGUGAGGGGGGUCCAUGGUAGGUACAGGGUAGGCAGCUUAGAUUUGGUCGAUCUGGAGGUCGAUUCUCCGGCUGGCGGAUCUGACACUGUCGAAACGAGGUGCGAGCGGUGUAGGGUAGGCUAGUUUCGUCCUCGCCAGGUUGCGAUUCGGACGAGAUAUGUGGUCUAGGGUAGGCUCUAGGGUAAGUAGAACUCUAGUUUCGUCGCCGACAGUUUUCUUUGGGUGUAUGGUAGGUACAGGGUAGGCAAAUCUCUCUCCGGCCGGUACUUGUCUGGUGGUCGUGAGUCGAUUUUUUUGUUUUGCCAUACUAUUGAAUUUUGCGGAAAUUCAAAAGUGGCUCGGGAGUCCCGUCUGGCGUGCGUCCGACUCGAACAUCGUCGGUAUACAUAUGAGAGGGAGUAAUCCGGCCCGGCCGGGGCCCAUCGCGAGCUGCCGGGUAGGUAAAAGUAAAAAAGUUGUUAAGAGGCGCGGUGUCGGCGUGCUUGUAUUUGCGGGAGAGAAUUAUCUGGAGGUGCUGGGUAGCCGGGAAGACUUGGACGGAUCUGGCCCGGGAAUGGGUCUGGGCCUGGAUUCUGGUGUGGUGUAGGGUAGGCGUAGAUAGAUGAGUGGUCUAGGGUAGAUACAGGGUAGCCAGAAGUCUAGUAUAUAGUAUGGGGGUUGUAGGGUAGGUCUGGACACCGUUUUCCACUUCGCCCUUCCCUUUACUCGAGGGAGGACGAUCUUGGCUGGGACGGCGGUGUAGGGUAGGCUUAAUUAACGAUUACAUGAUCUGUGUCGCUCUAGGGUAGGUGAAAAUCCCAUAUAUAUCUGAUCACAUUUGGUGAAGAGGUGGUUUGGCUGGUGAGAUGGACAAAAGUGCAAUGUAGAAUGAUAUGUGAUUUUGCAAAAGUGGGUGUGAAAUUGGAAAGUCGGUUUUCCCGCACAGAUGAGAGCACGUUUGAGGUGCCAUGAGAUGCACCUCUCUGAGACGACCUCAACGGUGCCACCCAUGUGUUGGUCGGGCUCCUGUGCCGCCGUCCAGGGCGGGAUAAGUAGAGAAUGAGGUGGUGUAGGGUAGGUGGCCAGGUCCAGGGUAGGUUCGCCAAAUCCGUCAAUCCGGCUUGAAUGGAAGGACAGGUCUAGGGUAGGCCAGAGUCGGGUCUAGGGUAGGCAACUCUCACCCUCGAAGUGGUCUACCCGGUAGCCAACUUCAAUCGCCUCUCACGGCCGCCACGGAUCUCGUAUGACGACGGGACUACCACCAUCGGAUUCGCCUUGGUCGAAAUAGCUGGUAUAUGCACUUUUGAAAAAAUGCGUGCAAAAUGGUUUUGUGGUUUGGUGGUCGUGAGUCGAUUUUUUUGUUUUCCCAUACAAAUGAAUUUUGCGGAAAAUAAAAAGUGGCCCACGAGGCAGUCCUGGCGUGCGGCCCACUAAAACGGUCUCGGAGGGUAUAUGAGAAGGGAGCAAAUCCGGCCGAGCCUGAAAGGGUGAGGACAAACCGGGCGAGCAACCUCUCAGUAUCAGAUCUUGCAGACUUCCACUGCGUGUCCCUCUGUACAGCUUUGCAGGCUCCGGCCUCGGCAGCGGGGGGUUCAUAGUGGUCGUCGACCUCCACGAAACUGCACGCUCCGGCGUGACAGCGUACUGGGGAUGCCUGUGUAGAUGCAGUCCGGGCUUG